CCUACGGGUGGCAGCAGUGGGGAAUAUUGGACAAUGGGCGAAAGCCUGAUCCAGCCAUGCCGCGUGUGUGAAGAAGGCCUUCGGGUUGUAAAGCACUUUCAGUGGGGAAGAAAGCCUUGGGGCUAAUACCCUCGAGGAAGGACAUCACCCACAGAAGAAGCACCGGCUAACUCCGUGCCAGCAGCCGCGGUAAUACGGAGGGUGCGAGCGUUAAUCGGAAUUACUGGGCGUAAAGCGCGCGUAGGCGGUCUGAUAAGCCGGUUGUGAAAGCCCCGGGCUCAACCUGGGAACGGCAUCCGGAACUGUCAGGCUAGAGUGCAGGAGAGGAAGGUAGAAUUCCCGGUGUAGCGGUGAAAUACGUAGAGAUCGGGAGGAAUACCAGUGGCGAAGGCGGCCUUCUGGACUGACACUGACGCUGAGGUGCGAAAGCGUGGGUAGCAAACAGGAUUAGAUACCCUUGUAGUC
This 465-nucleotide ribosomal RNA is filed under the name Vreelandella stevensii. Its description in RNAcentral is "partial 16S ribosomal RNA". It matches the Rfam family "Bacterial small subunit ribosomal RNA", at positions 338 to 795 of the family's 1533-position model. Lineage: Bacteria; Pseudomonadati; Pseudomonadota; Gammaproteobacteria; Oceanospirillales; Halomonadaceae. The record is from RNAcentral.